Molecule: non-coding RNA, 24 nt
Filed under: Arabidopsis thaliana (thale cress)
Lineage: Eukaryota; Viridiplantae; Streptophyta; Magnoliopsida; Brassicales; Brassicaceae
Source: RNAcentral
UUGUGACCGUAUAUCUACGACGUU